GGGGGCGACCUGGUUUCGACGUGGGUUGCAAAACCAGAGGGGCAUGCCGAGAAUGAGAUCUCUCGUUAAUAAGGCUCAAGUAAAUAUAAAUGCAAACGAUGAAAACUUUGCUGGUGAAGCUAUCGCUGCCUAAUAAGCACUUUAGUUAACCACUGUGUACUGGCCUAUAAACCCAGUAUCCCAUUGACCGAGCUCGCUUAUUGGUAUCGAAUCAAUGGUCAUAGAAGAUAAGCUAGUGUCUUAGUUUGUCCCGAAUUAAGAUGCGAAACUCAGGGAAUCGCUGUAUACCAUCCUGCCCGUCGGAGGGUCUGCAGUUAAAUUCAAUAGACAAGGCUACGCAUGUAGAACCAAAGGCAGAGGAUCUGCGGACGCGGGUUCGAUUCCCGCCGCCUCCACCA
RNAcentral lists this transfer-messenger RNA (398 nucleotides) under Legionellaceae. Its description in RNAcentral is "Legionella sp003989735 Standard tmRNA". It matches the Rfam family "transfer-messenger RNA". Rfam says of the family: Bacterial tmRNA, also known as 10Sa RNA or SsrA, is named for its dual tRNA and mRNA-like properties. Its role is to liberate the mRNA from a stalled ribosome. RNAcentral also lists the same sequence under 1 other name. Lineage: Bacteria; Pseudomonadati; Pseudomonadota; Gammaproteobacteria; Legionellales. The record is from RNAcentral.